UUGGAAGAAGGACCUUCGGGUUGUAAAGUACUUUCAGCAGUGAGGAAGGUGGGUAUGUUAAUAGCAUAUUCAUUUGACGUUAGACUGCAGAAGUAAGCACCGGCUAACUCCGUGCCAGCAGCCGCGGUAAUACGGAGGGUGCGAGCGUUAAUCGGAAUUACUGGGCGUAAAGCGCAUGCAGGUGGUUUGUUAAGUCAGGAUGUGAAAGCCCGGGGCUCAAACCUCGGAAUUGCAUUUGAAACUGGCAAACUAGAGUACUGUAGAGGGGGGUAGAAUUUCAGGUGUAGCGGUGAAAUGCGUAGAGAUCUGAAGGAAUACCGGUGGCGAAGGCGGCCCCCUGGACAGAUACUGACACUCAGAUGCGAAAAGCGUGGGGAGCAAACAGGAUUAGAUACCCUGGUAG
RNAcentral lists this ribosomal RNA (403 nucleotides) under uncultured bacterium. RNAcentral describes it as "bacterial SSU rRNA". It matches the Rfam family "Bacterial small subunit ribosomal RNA", at positions 401 to 793 of the family's 1533-position model. The record is from RNAcentral.